Molecule: ribosomal RNA, 929 nt
Filed under: Arthrobacter agilis
Lineage: Bacteria; Bacillati; Actinomycetota; Actinomycetes; Micrococcales; Micrococcaceae
Also listed under: 1 other name
Description: bacterial SSU rRNA
Rfam family: Bacterial small subunit ribosomal RNA
Source: RNAcentral
GGGAUUAGUGGCGAACGGGUGAGUAACACGUGAGUAACCUGCCCUUGACUCUGGGAUAAGCCUGGGAAACCGGGUCUAAUACUGGAUAUGACCUUCCCGCGCAUGCGGUGUUGGUGGAAAGCUUUUGUGGUUUUGGAUGGACUCGCGGCCUAUCAGCUUGUUGGUGGGGUAAUGGCCUACCAAGGCGACGACGGGUAGCCGGCCUGAGAGGGUGACCGGCCACACUGGGACUGAGACACGGCCCAGACUCCUACGGGAGGCAGCAGUGGGGAAUAUUGCACAAUGGGCGCAAGCCUGAUGCAGCGACGCCGCGUGAGGGAUGAAGGCCUUCGGGUUGUAAACCUCUUUCAGUAGGGAAGAAGCUGAUUCCUUUUGGGGUUGGUGACGGUACCUGCAGAAGAAGCGCCGGCUAACUACGUGCCAGCAGCCGCGGUAAUACGUAGGGCGCAAGCGUUAUCCGGAAUUAUUGGGCGUAAAGAGCUCGUAGGCGGUUUGUCGCGUCUGCCGUGAAAGUCCGGGGCUUAACUCCGGAUCUGCGGUGGGUACGGGCAGACUAGAGUGCAGUAGGGGAGACUGGAAUUCCUGGUGUAGCGGUGAAAUGCGCAGAUAUCAGGAGGAACACCGAUGGCGAAGGCAGGUCUCUGGGCUGUAACUGACGCUGAGGAGCGAAAGCAUGGGGAGCGAACAGGAUUAGAUACCCUGGUAGUCCAUGCCGUAAACGUUGGGCACUAGGUGUGGGGGACAUUCCACGUUUUCCGCGCCGUAGCUAACGCAUUAAGUGCCCCGCCUGGGGAGUACGGCCGCAAGGCUAAAACUCAAAGGAAUUGACGGGGGCCCGCACAAGCGGCGGAGCAUGCGGAUUAAUUCGAUGCAACGCGAAGAACCUUACCAAGGCUUGACAUGAACCGGAAUGAUGCAGAGAUGUGUCA